UACGUAGGGGGCGAGCGUUGUCCGGAUUUAUUGGGCGUAAAGAGCGUGUAGGCGGCCAGGUAGGUCUGCUGUGAAAACUCGAGGCUCAACCUCGAGACGUCGGCGGAAACCAUCUGGCUAGAGUCCGGAAGAGGAGAGUGGAAUUCCUGGUGUAGCGGUGAAAUGCGCAGAUAUCAGGAAGAACACCAGUGGCGAAGGCGGCCUGCUGGGCUGUUGCUGACGCUGAGGCGCGACAGCGUGGGGAGCAAACAGG
Molecule: ribosomal RNA, 253 nt
Filed under: uncultured bacterium
Lineage: Bacteria
Description: partial 16S ribosomal RNA
Rfam family: Bacterial small subunit ribosomal RNA
Source: RNAcentral